AAUAGAAGGCUUGCAAGGGCGGUCGGCUAGUCUCCCGGAAGGGAGGUGAUGCUCAUGGAGGUUUAUCAAGCAUUGUCACUGAUGUUCAUGUUUGGCAUGUUCAUUAUUGCUCUGCUGAACUACCUCAAAAAGAAAUAGACCGCCCUCUCCCUUUUACUGCUCUUAACUAACUAACUAACUGUCAUAAAUCAUGCCUUUGUGGGCGAAUGGUAUGUUAUUCUAAUUAUUUUUAUAGAGAUUGAUU
This 244-nucleotide small RNA is filed under the name Paenibacillus jilunlii. RNAcentral's name for it is "BsrG". The stretch from base 16 to 146 matches the Rfam family "BsrG", at positions 23 to 156 of the family's 259-position model. From Rfam's summary of the family: bsrE, bsrG and bsrH pair through intermolecular interactions with antisense sRNAs. SR4 interaction with the 3'UTR of bsrG RNA promotes bsrG degradation and inhibits its translation. The record is from RNAcentral. Lineage: Bacteria; Bacillati; Bacillota; Bacilli; Caryophanales; Paenibacillaceae.